CCUACGGGAGGCAGCAGUGAGGAAUAUUGGUCAAUGGCCGCGAGCCUGAACCAGCCAAGUCGCGUGAGGGAAGAAGGUCCUAUGGAUUGUAAACCUCUUUUGUCAGGGAGCAAAAGACGCCACGCGUGGCGUUCCGAGAGUACCCGAAGAAAAAGCAUCGGCUAACUCCGUGCCAGCAGCCGCGGUAAUACGGAGGAUGCGAGCGUUAUCCGGAUUUAUUGGGUUUAAAGGGUGCGCAGGCGGAAGAUCAAGGCAGCGGUACAAUAGGGGCGCUCAACCUCGUCUAGCCGUUGAAACUGGUUUUCUUGAGUGAGCGAGAAGUAUGCGGAAUGCGUGGUGUAGCGGUGAAAUGCAUAGAUAUCACGCAGAACUCCGAGUGCGAAGGCAGCAUACCGGCGCUCAACUGACGCUCAUGCACGAAAGUGUGGGUAUCGAACAGGAUUAGAUACCCGUGUAGUC
This 459-nucleotide ribosomal RNA is filed under the name uncultured bacterium. RNAcentral's name for it is "partial 16S ribosomal RNA". It matches the Rfam family "Bacterial small subunit ribosomal RNA", at positions 338 to 795 of the family's 1533-position model. The record is from RNAcentral.